This is a long non-coding RNA of Amphibalanus amphitrite, 777 nucleotides long. RefSeq lists it as uncharacterized. NCBI's taxonomy places the organism in Eukaryota, Metazoa, Arthropoda, Thecostraca, Balanomorpha, Balanidae. The record is from RefSeq and is a predicted model, not a curated record. The transcript is spliced from 3 exons.
GGCAUACAUUGCCCACGGUUUCCAAGUACUCAGGACGUACCUGUCCAAUCGAAACUGGUACACUUCAACAUUGUUCCCUCUGCAUACGCUGUGUCAGGUGUCAGCAGCCAACCAGGGCGCUCUGGAGCACUACACCUGCCAAUGUGUGCUACCAAUCAACUUGUUCAACGAGAAAAUAUUCGGAGUCUUGUGGUUUUACGUUGCAGCUCUGCUACCAUUAACUGUUUAUAGCACGCUGAUUUGGCUGUUCAGAUCAUCCCAAACGUCACGGAGGAGUUUUGUGAGGUAUUACCUGUGGCGGACAGGCCGUAUGGAGGGUGAGCGUCUUGAUCGGACGUGUCGUAACCUCCUCACCUAUCUCGGCUACGAUGGUCUACUAAUUCUGCGACUCAUCGAACUCAAUCACGGAACUGCAAUCCUUACUCUCAUCGUCGACAAACUCACCGAGUUUCAUGACCUUCUCGAGGUCACAAGAAGGCCCGAAGAAGGAGUUUACACCGCUUCUUCGUAUCUUUCGCUGUCGACUACGAGGCUUCUGAGCUAUUCCGGUCAGCGAAAUCUAGUAGCGGAUGUGUGUAAUGUGAGCCCGGAAGGUCAUCGAGCCUGGGGUGGAAGGUCAAGGUGUGACCUGACCAGGUCAAGGUCAGACCUGGGGAUUGGAGAUCAGAGUCCGGAAGGAGGAAGAGUGGAGCCGCCGAGGAAGAGAGGAGGAAUGAGAGCAGGGAGUAGGAUGAAUAAGAGGAAGAGCUUUAUGUUCUUCAGAUGAAAAGGUUGGCG